AAGGAUCAUUAGUGAUUGGUCGAAAGACCUUAUCCCAUCCUCACACCUGUGCACCGUGGGCUUCGGCCCUACAAACGUAGUGUAUCGAACGUAUGCAUCUUAACAAACAAAACUUUCAACAACGGAUCUCUUGGCUCUCGCAUCGAUGAAGAACGCAGCGAAAUGCGAUAAGUAAUGUGAAUUGCAGAAUUCAGUGAAUCAUCGAAUCUUUGAACGCACCUUGCGCCUUUUGGUAUUCCGAAAGGCAUGCCUGUUUGAGUGUCAUGUAGACUCAACUCUCGAGAGGUUUCUUGCGAGUUGGAUUUGGGUGUUGCCAUUUGGCUCGCCUUAAAAGUGUUAGUGGUUUAAGCACUUGAUCGGACGUGAUAAGUUUCGUCCGGCCGUGUGUCAUCGACCGCUCCUAAACCGCCUUGCGGCGCUCUUUGACUCUGACCUCAAAUCAGGUAGGACUACCCGCUGAACUUAA
This 466-nucleotide ribosomal RNA is filed under the name Epacris pulchella root associated fungus EP58. RNAcentral describes it as "eukaryotic LSU rRNA". The stretch from base 111 to 264 matches the Rfam family "5.8S ribosomal RNA". The record is from RNAcentral. Lineage: Eukaryota; Fungi.